AGAACGAACGCUGGCGGCGCGCCUAACACAUGCAAGUCGAACGAGAAUCCGGGGCAACUCGGUAGUACAGUGGCAAACGGGUGAGGAAUACAUGGGUAACCUGCCCUUGAGAAGGGAAUAACCCGCCGAAAGGUGAGCUAAUACCCUAUACGCUCCUUUUUUCUACGGAAAGGGAAGGAAAGCUAAGCCGUGGGCUUGGCACUCAAGGAGGGGCUCAUGUCCUAUCAGCUUGUUGGUGGGGUGAUGGCCGUACAAGGCGACGACGGGUA
RNAcentral lists this ribosomal RNA (269 nucleotides) under uncultured bacterium. Its description in RNAcentral is "partial small subunit ribosomal RNA". It matches the Rfam family "Bacterial small subunit ribosomal RNA", at positions 26 to 285 of the family's 1533-position model. The record is from RNAcentral.